Molecule: long non-coding RNA, 3603 nt
Filed under: Mus musculus (house mouse)
Lineage: Eukaryota; Metazoa; Chordata; Mammalia; Rodentia; Muridae
Description: long non-coding RNA chr14:64314076-64317679
Source: RNAcentral
GGUUUAUUUGUUUGAGGCAGGGUCUCUCAUUGGCCUACAGCUCAAUAGGCUGGCUGGUCAAGGAGCCUAAGAGAUUGCACCCAUCUCUGCCCCCCCCCCCCGCACAGAAAUUAGAAGCAUGUGCCAUAUCAAUCAGCUUUUUACUUGGGUUUUAGGAAUCAAAGUCAGGCCCCCAUGUUCACACUUUACUGAGCCAUCUCCCUAGCCCUUUACAUGAGUUUCAAUCUCAAUGAUAGGACAUGUCGUUUUGUAAAUGAAUGUGUCAGGAUCCAAGUUCUAACAGACUGGACAACUGAAAAAUGCUGGACCCUUGGUCAGAGGGUCUCUACUGAAGCUGACCACACCCAGAGAACAAGGGAAUCCCUACAAUCCAGGCUGAGUAAGAGUACCUCCUCCUGAUGCUGCCUAACAAUCACCAUACUGAUGAAGUUGGUAUUUCAGUAAGAAGUGCAGCAGCAGACUAUGGCAUCCACCAAAAUUCAAGCAGUAUCACAACUGCCUUGAGGACUCCAUGGAUAUCCAGGGCUUCUCAACAUUCCCCCAGCCCCGAAGCCUCACCACCAGUGUAAAGAAGGGGCUGGCAGAGAUGGAAUGAGCCUCGAGGUUAGGGCUUCCAGCAUACACUUGUUCUCAAGACCCCCAAACAGAGAACUCCAGAAAAUGCUCCAUCUGAGCACAUUUGAUAAUGUCCCUUCAAGACAAUAUGAAAGACGUAACUUAUGAAUAUAAGUAUUUGCACAAAAAAAAAUAUCUAGGAAGAACAGCUAAAUCAUGACAUUCAGCAUCCUUGUGACUUAAGAGUCACACUAGGUCUACUAAAGCCUGGCAAAGGGCAACAAGGAUACAAUCUGGGUGAGUGCCAAAGGAUCUGAGUACAGAACCAUCUGGUCCAGGUAUGAUGAGAUAUGACACUAGACUGUGGUGGGACCAUGUCACAGCAGGUCUUAAGUUCCUAUCUAAACUGUGGGUUUCUCAGCACCCUCUGCUGCAUUGCCUGGGUGACGUGUUUUAUUUUGUUAAGAACAUAUUUGUCUUUCUUCCCAAUUUCUUUAACAUCAAUUGGUAUUUAAGUUGAGAUACUAAAAGAAUGUUCCCAAGAGCCAUUGCCUCAUUGUAAAUUUACAAAUGCAUUUGCGAUUGUACAGGGAAUGAUUAUAUCAUGUUAGGCGUAUUCAUGACCUUGUUAUUGUUCCAUGUGGACAUGAGAUAUUUGUGUCAAGUUGACAAGGGGUGGAUUGUAGUGGCUAUUCUUGGUUGUCAACUUGACUAUAUCUGUAAUGAACUACAAUGCAGAAUUGGAAGGCUCACUUGUGAUCCUAAUCUGGAGGCUGGGAGAUACAAGUUUCUGACCUGGAUCUUAGUGAGGAGAUCUUGAGCUAUGGCUAUGAAUCCCAGAAGAUUAAGACUGGGAGAUCUCUGAAUUCAAGGUCAUCUGGGACAAAGCAAGUCUCAGAUCCAGGUGUGGUGACACACACCUUUAACCUGGGCCACACCUUCUGCUGAAGACCUACAUAAUUGGAAGAAGGAAGAUUUGUUGUCUCUUUUUUGACUGCUUGCCUUGUGGGACUGAGCAACUGCUAGAUCCUUGAACUUCCAUUUACAGCUGCUGCUGACCGUUGUUGGGAGUUGGACUACAGACUGUAAGUCAUCAACAAAUUCCCUUACUAUAUAGAGACUGCUCAUAAGUUCUAUGACUCUAGAGAACCCUAACUAAUACACCAAUGUAACCACAGCUCUCUUUCAACCUGGAAAAAAAAAGUCUAAAUUUCAUGACAUAAACUCCCAAGUACCUGCCUGUAUCCAUCAAAAUUGCUGCUGCUACAACACCAUCUGAGCAAUCAGUCUCAAGGAAGAACUGUUCACUUGGCUCAGUCUCAGAGUCUAGGUCUGUCAUAGUGGGGAGGCAGGAUGGAACAGAGCGCCUGCUGGGAAGCAGAGAGGACCUGUGUCUGUGGGCUCUUUCCCAUCUCCUCCUUUAUUUCACCAGGGCCCCUGCAAUGCUACUCACACUCAAGGAAGGUUCCCCACCUCUUUUGCUAAUGGAAUCACCCUUGUGGACAUGCCCAGAGGCAUGCUUUAUGAAAUUUCUAGGAAAGUCUGCAAUCAAAUUGACAGUCAAGAUUAACUAUAUUUUCCCCAUCUCCGCUGGCUCCCCAUUAUGCUGAGGCUAGAGUCAAUGCUUUUGGUGGCCUUUGAGCAUCUGUAAGGAAUGGCUCCAAAGUCUCUCCUCCCUCUACUACAAAUACCUCUACCGUGACCACAAGGAUUGCACUAAACAUUCCUGUUACUACAUGGACAAAGACCAAAUCUCCCAGGGACUGGUUAGGAGGGCAGUGGCCAUAUCCUAUUAUCCUGGCAUGUAAUGACACAAAGGUGUUCAGUAAGUAUUUGUUAAGCUAAUAAAUGAAGCAAAUGGCAUUUAAAAGUCUCUUCAAGACAAUAUGAAAGAUGUAACUUAUUUGAUCCAGUGCAUAGACAUACAUACACUCACAAACACACACAUACUGCUCUAUUACUUAAUGGGUGACAGUCUAAGAAAUGGAUUAUCACUUUUCUAUAUGUUUACACAAACUAAGAUGGCCAAGACAUCACAAACUUUGCAAUGAAACCUUAGUGGGACACCAUCAACUACAGCCUGUUGUGACUCAACUAUUGUUGUAACAUACGAGCAAAUGGAUUAUAUCUGUCUGUGUUCAUGUAUGUGUGAGUACAUGUGGAGACCAGAGGACAACCUCAGCUGUCAUUCCUCAAGUGCCACUUGCCAUGUUCUUUGAGACAUCAUCUUUCACUGGCCUGGAAGUCACCAAUUAGGUUAGGUUGGCUGGUCAGCCCAGGGAGCCACUGUACCUGACUCUCCAGCACUGAAAGGGCAAGCACACUCCCAUGCCUGGCUUGUCUAAGUGUGCUCAGGUCCUUGUGCGCACAAGGCAAGCACUCAAAACCUAAGCACACAUGGACAGUCCUAUAAUAUACUUUAAAAAAAUACAAAGAUUAUGUUUCCCUCAUAAUGACAGUGAACAUUUAAAAUAACCACUCAUAAAUAGUGCCCCAGUGGGGUGGCCUAGACAGCAGGGAGCUAAUGUCUCACCCUCAUAUGUUGGGGUCCCCUUCCUAGCUCCUUCUCUCCUUGCCUCUGGGAAGAUUCAAAGCUGACAGAAGUAGCCAUGAAAAUGUUGCCCACUGGACAGGAAGGAGGAAGUCUGUGCUGUCCUCUCUGGUGAAAGGCCCCUCUUUUCUCCUGUAUUCCAGAGCCUGAGGCCCAAACAUAAUCAUUUCUAUCAAUUGAUUUUGCAUUUUCUUCUGGAAUACAGAUCAUUGGGUCUUAUGUCAGCCCUGUAGCAAUCUAUACAACAUUAGUAAGCAAGAGCUAGGACAGGCUAGGGAUGACAGGCUGGGCUCUGGAAGGAGAUCAUCUGACCUUGACCCUCUCCCAUGUCCUGGCUAUAUGAUCUUGAUAUAUAACUAACCUAUGUGAGACUUUGUUUCCUCGUUUCAACUACCUCAUGGGUGGCUUUGAGAAUUAAUUUAGGUAUGGAAAGCCUGUCAUACUGCAAAUAGUGUACAACUGUAAGACUAGCGUUGGAAUCUGUGUAGGAGAUUUCC